GGUUGCGAUCAUACCAGCACUAAUGCACCGGAUCCCAUUAGAACUCCGCAGUUAAGCGUGAUUGGGCGAGAGUAGUACUAGGAUGGGUGACCCCCUGGGAAGUCCUCGUGUUGCAACCCC
RNAcentral lists this ribosomal RNA (120 nucleotides) under Helianthus annuus (common sunflower). The record is from RNAcentral. Lineage: Eukaryota; Viridiplantae; Streptophyta; Magnoliopsida; Asterales; Asteraceae.